RNAcentral lists this ribosomal RNA (497 nucleotides) under uncultured bacterium. RNAcentral describes it as "partial 16S ribosomal RNA". It matches the Rfam family "Bacterial small subunit ribosomal RNA", at positions 28 to 507 of the family's 1533-position model. The record is from RNAcentral.
GAUGAACGCUGGCGGCGUGCCUAAUACAUGCAAGUCGAGCGAACGGACGAGAAGCUUGCUCCUCUGACGUUAGCGGCGGACGGGUGAGUAACACGUGGAUAACCUACCUAUAAGACUGGGAUAACUUCGGGAAACCGGAGCUAAUACCGGAUAAUAUUUUGAACCGCAUGGUUCAAAAGUGAAAGACGGUCUUGCUGUCACUUAUAGAUGGAUCCGCGCUGCAUUAGCUAGUUGGUAAGGUAACGGCUUACCAAGGCAACGAUGCGUAGCCGACCUGAGAGGGUGGUCGGCCACACUGGAACUGAGACACGGUCCAGACUCCUACGGGAGGCAGCAGUAGGGAAUCUUCCGCAAUGGGCGAAAGCCUGACGGAGCAACGCCGCGUGAGUGAUGAAGGUCUUCGGAUCGUAAAACUCUGUUAUUAGGGAAGAACAAAUGUGUAAGUAACUGUGCACAUCUUGACGGUACCUAAUCAGAAAGCCACGGCUAACUACGUG